GCUCGGUGCACAAACACCAUAUAAUACACGAAUUUGAUCUCAUGGUGGCAUGUAGCCAAGACAAAAGAAUUAGCAUCUAAGCAUUUGUAGUCUAAUUACAUCCAUAAGGAAAAGUAUUGUAUAGAUUGAUUCUAUGAAUUUAGAUAUGGUGCCAUUUGAUUUUCAGAUAAGCCCAAAAUGAAAAUGAUUGAUACUGUAUAUUUAUGUUCUUUGAUACACUGAAAAAGCCA
Molecule: long non-coding RNA, 230 nt
Filed under: Eucalyptus grandis
Lineage: Eukaryota; Viridiplantae; Streptophyta; Magnoliopsida; Myrtales; Myrtaceae
Description: long non-coding RNA (EGRA_LNC004744)
Source: RNAcentral